GAAACCCGGUGAUCUAGCCAUGGGCAGGUUGAAGGUUGGGUAACACUAACUGGAGGACCGAACCGACUAAUGUUGAAAAAUUAGCGGAUGACUUGUGGCUGGGGGUGAAAGGCCAAUCAAACCGGGAGAUAGCUGGUUCUCCCCGAAAGCUAUUUAGGUAGCGCCUCGUGAAUUCAUCUCCGGGGGUAGAGCACUGUUUCGGCAAGGGGGUCAUCCCGACUUACCAACCCGAUGCAAACUGCGAAUACCGGAGAAUGUUAUCACGGGAGACACACGGCGGGUGCUAACGUCCGUCGUGAAGAGGGAAACAACCCAGACCGCCAGCUAAGGUCCCAAAGUCAUGGUUAAGUGGGAAACGAUGUGGGAAGGCCCAGACAGCCAGGAUGUUGGCUUAGAAGCAGCCAUCAUUUAAAGAAAGCGUAAUAGCUCACUGGUCGAGUCGGCCUGCGCGGAAGAUGUAACGGGGCUAAACCAUGCAC
RNAcentral lists this ribosomal RNA (479 nucleotides) under Escherichia coli. Its description in RNAcentral is "partial 23S ribosomal RNA". It matches the Rfam family "Bacterial large subunit ribosomal RNA", at positions 717 to 1194 of the family's 2925-position model. Lineage: Bacteria; Pseudomonadati; Pseudomonadota; Gammaproteobacteria; Enterobacterales; Enterobacteriaceae. The record is from RNAcentral. RNAcentral also lists the same sequence under 1 other name.